AUGAAACUUCUAUCAUGGAACUGCCGGGGACUCGGGAAUGAACCGGCAGUUCGAGCUUUGCUGGACGUCCAGCGAAGUACCCAUCCCGAUGUGAUGUUCUUGUCGGAGACACACCUUGAUAGCUAUCCGGCUGAAUGUUUGAGGCGCCGAUUAAAAAUGGAUCAAAAGAUGGUUUGUACAAGUAAUGGGAGAAGUGGAGGUCUUAUAUUGCUUUGGAGGAAUGGUGUAGUGGUUCAACGCCUCGGCUUGGAUCCGAUGUUUAUUGAUGUCCAGAUUUCGUGUGAUGGAGGUGCAACUUGGCGAUUGAGAGGGACGUAUGGCGAGUUCCGGUGGGGGAAUAAACACCUCACCUGGGAUCGUAUGCGUAGGUUACACCAGAAAAAUAACCUACCGUGGCUGCUGAUGGGAGACAUGAAUGAAAUUCAAUUUUUGCAUGAGAAAGAAGGCGGGAACCCGCGCCCACAACAAUAUAUGACGGCUUUUCAGCAGGCAAUAGAUGACUGUGAGUUGAACGAUAUGGGGUAUACUGGAGAUGUGUUUACUUGGCGUCGACGAAGAAUAAGAGAAAGACUGGAAGAGGCUUGA
RNAcentral lists this ribosomal RNA (585 nucleotides) under Triticum aestivum (bread wheat). Its description in RNAcentral is "partial small subunit ribosomal RNA". The record is from RNAcentral. Lineage: Eukaryota; Viridiplantae; Streptophyta; Magnoliopsida; Poales; Poaceae.